GGGGGAGGGGGUUGGGGGGGAAAAGGAGGGGGGAACGUAACAUCAGGCGGUUAGGAACAUAUAAUUUUCAUAGGAACAAAAAAGUAGGAACACCUCCUGCUUAAGGAAUGAGAAGGAGUGGAUCCCAGAGCUUAAAGAGCAGUAAUGCACCUUAUUAACAAAAUUAGUCUCCGGGAAUACCAAGUGAAGUGCCAUUCGAAUCUUAGGGCACCCCUCACUCGAGCUGACUGUGGACCGCAUCAGAAGCUUAAUUUCAAACACUUUUGAAUUUACAGUCUCCACUCGCUUCUCCAACCUAUUUACUCAACUAGUGAGUUGUUUCGGCUAGGGAGAAAGCUGAGGGCGCAAUAAUUGAGAUCUCUGCGGACCGGACAUACGUGGGGCUCUUGGGAGAACUCGCUCAACUAAACCACUAUGCUUUGGACCCAGAAUCAAGGCAAAAGCUAGCUCCCCAGCCUCCUUUCCCGAUUUUGGACACACUGGAUUCUGUCAUCUCUUCCUGUCUCCACUCCACUGCAGAAGCGGUGUUCUCCUGCUGACUUAUCCGAGCCACUGCUUUAUCCGACUAGCACCAAUAAAAAUACAUUUUUUUUAAA
Long non-coding RNA from Antechinus flavipes (yellow-footed antechinus), 596 nucleotides. RefSeq lists it as uncharacterized. The record is from RefSeq and is a predicted model, not a curated record. The transcript has 2 exons. NCBI's taxonomy places the organism in Eukaryota, Metazoa, Chordata, Mammalia, Dasyuromorphia, Dasyuridae.